AUGCGACACUUGGUUGUGAACUUCAAAAAAAAGUUUCAUGGCAAAGUUUUUGAUGAUCAUUUGUGGCCAGCUGCUUAUUCAUGGACUCCUCACGCUUUUGACUAUCACAUGGUAGCCAUAGAGCAGAAAAGGGCUGCUGCAAUUACAUACUUAAAGAAGUACCACAGCAGGCUAUGGUCAAGGAGCAAAUAUUCAUGUUCCUCAAAAGUGGAUUAUGUGACAAAUAAUUUGGCCGAGUGUUUCAACAACUGGAUCCACAAGCACAAAGGUUUAAUGUUGUUUCAGCUCAUGGACAAGAUCAGGAGGAAGAUUACCGUUAAGCAUGAGAAGAGGAGAAGGGUUGCUAGGAAAUUGCAAGGUCGACGUAUACUUCCAAGUGUCAUGAAUGAGCUGAAUGAAAAAAGUAGGGGGCUAGACAUUGAAUAUGAGAGAAUAGAUGACAUGAUUGCAGAGGUUGCCGAGUGUGCUGCGCUGGGUGGCAAGCGCCACAUUACUGAUCUAUCAAAUAGGACAUGCACAUGCCGGGCAUUUCAAGUCUCUGGGAAGCCUUGCAAACAUGCAAUCAGCUUUAUUACUGGAAUUAGGGGAGUCACCAUAGCAGAUUUUGUUGAUGACUAUUACAGCGUUGCCAAGUUCAUUGCAGCUUAUGCCCAUGUUCUUCCUGGCCUGACCGACAUGUCUCAAUGGCCAAGUGUGAACAAAGAUUUCAUUUUGAAUCCC
Molecule: ribosomal RNA, 720 nt
Filed under: Triticum aestivum (bread wheat)
Lineage: Eukaryota; Viridiplantae; Streptophyta; Magnoliopsida; Poales; Poaceae
Description: partial small subunit ribosomal RNA
Source: RNAcentral